GUAGGGAAUCUUCCACAAUGGACGAAAGUCUGAUGGAGCAAUGCCGCGUGAGUGAAGAAGGGUUUCGGCUCGUAAAACUCUGUUGUUAAAGAAGAACACCUUUGAGAGUAACUGUUCAAGGGUUGACGGUAUUUAACCAGAAAGCCACGGCUAACUACGUGCCAGCAGCCGCGGUAAUACGUAGGUGGCAAGCGUUGUCCGGAUUUAUUGGGCGUAAAGCGAGCGCAGGCGGUUUUUUAAGUCUGAUGUGAAAGCCUUCGGCUUAACCGGAGAAGUGCAUCGGAAACUGGGAGACUUGAGUGCAGAAGAGGACAGUGGAACUCCAUGUGUAGCGGUGGAAUGCGUAGAUAUAUGGAAGAACACCAGUGGCGAAGGCGGCUUACUGGACUGUAACUGACGCUGAGGCGCGAAAGUGUGGGGAGCAAACAGGAUUAGAAACCCUGGUAGUCC
Molecule: ribosomal RNA, 450 nt
Filed under: uncultured bacterium
Lineage: Bacteria
Description: partial 16S ribosomal RNA
Rfam family: Bacterial small subunit ribosomal RNA
Source: RNAcentral